This 744-nucleotide ribosomal RNA is filed under the name uncultured crenarchaeote. Its description in RNAcentral is "bacterial SSU rRNA". It matches the Rfam family "Archaeal small subunit ribosomal RNA", at positions 53 to 802 of the family's 1478-position model. Lineage: Archaea; Thermoproteati; Thermoproteota. The record is from RNAcentral.
GUGAGUCAUUGUAGCAAUACAAGGCNUACGGCUCAGUAACACGUAGNNNAAUCUAACCUAUGGACGUGGAUAACCUCGGGAAACUGAGAAUAAUCCGCGAUAGAUCAUAAUUCCUGGAACGGUUUAUGGUCCAAAUGAUUCGUCGCCAUAGGAUGGGACUGCGGCCUAUCAGCUUGUUGGUGAGGUAAUGGCUCACCAAGGCUAUUACAGGUACGGGCUCUGAGAGGAGAAGCCCGGAGAUGGGUACUGAGACACGGACCCAGGCCCUAUGGGGCGCAGCAGGCGAGAAACCUUUGCAAUGUGCGCAAGCACGACAAGGUUAAUCCGAGUGUUUCCUGCUAAAGGAAUCUUUUGUUAGUUCUAAAACCACUGAUGAAUAAGAGGUGGGCAAGUUCUGGUGUCAGCCGCCGCGGUAAAACCAGCACNUCAAGUGGUCAGGAGGAUUAUUGGGCCUAAAGCAUCCGUAGCCGGUUCUGUAAGUUUUCGGUUAAAUCCACUAGCUUAACUAAUGGGCUGCCGAAAAUACUGCAGAACUAGGGAGUGGGAGAGGUAGACGGUACUCGGUAGGAAGGGGUAAAAUCCUUUGAUCUAUUGAUGACCACCUGUGGCGAAGGCGGUCUACCAGAACACGUUCGACGGUGAGGGAUGAAAGCUGGGGGAGCAAACCGGAUUANAUACCCGGGUAGUCCCAGCUGUNAACGAUGCAUACUCCGUGAUGCACUGGCUUGUGGCCAGUGCAAUGCC